AAGUGUUUGGUUCGUGACUAACUUUAGGCAGCCACAAAAAGUGUGGCGAGGUUCCCUGAGCUUGCCAUACUUUUUUUCGCCGCAUCUGGGGCGCUCGUUUUCGAUGCCCCAGCACCGCUACGCGCCGCACUUCGCCCCCUUCUCUCCCUCUCAUGCCGCUGGUUGAUCUCUCGUCAUCUCCUCCUCCAAGCACGGAUCUUCUCGUCGUCUCCUCCAAGCACGGUGAUGUCCCUCGUAUUUCUGCCACCCGGUUUUCUUGGCUCCCCUGUAUUCUUCUUCGCUCCUCCGCGUAGAUCUGCCCGUCGUUUCUUCUUUGAUUGUGCGGGCCGACGGCACCACACACGCACCCACCCCCAUCCUGCAGCAGAUCCGCACGGCACCACACACGCAGAUCCCCACGGCACCCUACAGCAGACCUCUGCAUUUCACAGUCCCCAGGCCGCUAGGGGCUAGAUGGCUAGUCGGAGCGUCGGGCUCUGCUGCUAGGGGUAGCGUCAGGCUCUGCCGUCACAUCUAGGAGACGCUUGGUGUGAAGGAGAUGUCUGUACGUGCCAUGGCAUCUAGGAGCUUGGAUGGCUGGUGUGAAGGACUAGUACGUUGUCUGUUGAAUGCUAGUGAUGGCUGGUGUGAAGGAGCAGCAGCAAGCCAAGUACUACUACUCUGAAACUUUGUAAAAAUAUAUCAGGUUCCUGUUUUAGCUGGCCGCUAGCUGAUGCAAAGGUGUGCUGGAUCAGAAACCUGUUUUAGCAGCUGGAAUGUAGGAAAGAAUAUUUCUUAUUUUAGCAGCUGGAAUGUAGGAAUGCAUAGUUCUUCUAAUAGUUCUCUCCCUCAGAGCCUAACGAUUUAUUUUUUUCUUGUGCUUGUGCAGGACCAGGAGCACUGAAAUUCUAUCUCAACCGGUUCUGCCGACUGGGUAACUUGAAUUCUAAAGGUUGAUCCAAGCAGGAGGUGAAUGUGUGAUGGUUGGUUAUUUUGCAUUUCUUCUAGGUUGAUGCAUGACGGUUCAUGGAGAAGGCUGGUGGUUGUGAUAGCUAUCACACACUCUUUUGGUUAAUAAUUAGAUACUCUUUUUGUUGAGCAAUGUGAACCUUUAAUGGUGUUUAUGGGUC
Molecule: long non-coding RNA, 1109 nt
Filed under: Zea mays
Lineage: Eukaryota; Viridiplantae; Streptophyta; Magnoliopsida; Poales; Poaceae
Description: uncharacterized LOC100276219, transcript variant 1 (LOC100276219)
Source: RNAcentral